Anas platyrhynchos (mallard) is the source of this 1695-nucleotide non-coding RNA. NCBI's taxonomy places the organism in Eukaryota, Metazoa, Chordata, Aves, Anseriformes, Anatidae. The record is from RefSeq and is a predicted model, not a curated record.
GUGAAGUAUGUGGUGGGGAUGAUGGAAGGAGUCAGAGUGGUCUCCUUGUGGUCCCACAUUUCUAGGGCUUGCUCAGCAUGCUGUCAAGUGCUGUGACUUCAACAGAAUGAAAAUACAAGGUGGUGAUCCUUCUGCCAGGGUGACUAUACUUUAGAUGACAAAGCUAGCAAGGACAUGGCAUUGUAUCAACCCUUGUUGCCUCCAGUGAGCAUGACAGUCCUAUAUCAGCUACAGCAGGAAGAAGACUGUAGCCCACCAUUUCACCAGGAGACAACAUGCACUGUGAAUGCCAGGACAGUCUGAAUAGUGUCCUUGGAAGAUUAGAGCUCAAGGCUGUAGUCUAGCAUCACCGGGGUAUGUAUUGUUAGAGGUAUAUCAUCAGAUGGAUGAUGAGACUGCUGGAUCCCCAUACAGUAGGCCUCUGGGAUUGCCUGCAGUGUUGAUGGCUCCUGAAUCCCACCUAAGAGAAAAGCUCCCUGACUUCACUGUCUUCAUGUGAACUAUAGAUCAGCAAGCACACACUGCAGUGAGUAUCUAUUAUAGGCACUCCUGGAGCACUGACAAGUGUGUAUCUCCUGGCCAGUACAGCCUUCAUCAUGAUACAUGACUGGACUUACCCAAGACAGGGACAUCUACAAAUGAUUUUUAGCACACAGGACUGCUUCAGGACCACACUCCAUUGCUGUGAAUGGCAAUGCUUCACCGUCUCAGAAAAGCUUUUUUAAGCUUAUUGGCCCAUUAGCCAGCAUUACGGUUCCUAACACAAACACACCAUGUAAAGCCCCAGAGGAUGAGUCCAAGUUAAUGGAAGAGCUGACCCUGCUUGCCCUGUGCUCAACCUCUGGGCUGACGGGAUGCACUUUACCUUUGGUGUGGAGAUCACAGCUCAGUGAGCAUGGUGCUGAGCUGGAGACAGCUCACACUGAGUGUUGUUCCUGUGAGCUCACCUACAAGACCUUCCUUCCUUUCUGGCAAAAACUGAGCUCUGUGUGUACUGAAAAAAAUAGGCAAGACCCAACCCAGUUGAUUAUGUUUCAUCAUUGGCUUGCAUUGUCGUUACCCAGCUACAUUCCAUCAAAGGUCUGGCAAAAGAAAAAAAGUCAAUCACCCAGCUACAUUCCAUCAAAGGUCUGGCAAAAGAAAAAAAGUCAAUCAAAUGAAAGCUGUGGCAUACAUGAACCCCAAACCUCCUAGGUUCACUAGUUCAUGAGAACAUGAAAGUAUCUCAUAAUGAAGAUGGACAUGUCCCUUCUCCUUCAUGUCCUACUGCCUCUGGGGAAGAAGAGAGGACAGGAUGCCUCUCAUAGGGGUGUGGGACUGAGGAGGUGAUGGGCCCUGCCUCUGCUCAGGGACAGCCUUUAUACAUUCCCAACUCUCCUUUGGUCCUUUCCUGGAGGCUUUUCAGGACAGGUUAGUCUGUUUAAACCAUCUUACAGCAACCUUUACAGAAACUCUUCCCUCUUCCUGGAUGUCACUCUGUUCUUACAUGUCCGUCCACUGACUUGUGACAUAAAACAUACGGGGUUUGUACAUGCAUGGAUCAUCAGAAUCUGUCUCCAUCCCUCAGUCCUCUAGAUGUGACCAAAUCUCAAUUAGGUCAUUCAGAGAAGCAUGUCCAUACUGAAUAUUUGUUAAUCCUCCAAAUAAACAGCAUAGUGUUUCCAUGCUUCUCUGUCUGUAUCUCCCUGGUCCUAA